Molecule: ribosomal RNA, 167 nt
Filed under: uncultured bacterium
Lineage: Bacteria
Description: partial 16S ribosomal RNA
Rfam family: Bacterial small subunit ribosomal RNA
Source: RNAcentral
GCUGUAAUGGCAGGUCAGCAUACUGCCGUGAAUACGUUCCCGGGCCCUUGUACACACCGCCCGUCACACCAUGAGAGUUGGGAAUACCCGAAGCCUGUGAGCCAACCGUAAGGGGGCAGCAGUCGAAGGUAGAAUCAAUGAUUGGGGUGAAGUCGUAACAAGGUAAC